Molecule: ribosomal RNA, 490 nt
Filed under: Antheraea pernyi (Chinese oak silkmoth)
Lineage: Eukaryota; Metazoa; Arthropoda; Insecta; Lepidoptera; Saturniidae
Description: partial 16S ribosomal RNA
Rfam family: Bacterial large subunit ribosomal RNA (bases 1-165)
Source: RNAcentral
GCCUGUUUAUCAAAAACAUGUCUUUUUGGAAAUAAUUUAAAGUCUAAUCUGCCCACUGAUGAAAUAUUGAAGGGCUGCAGUAUUUUGACUGUACAAAGGUAGCAUAAUCAUUAGUCUCUUAAUUAGUGACUUGUAUGAAAGAUUUGAUGAAAUAUAAUCUGUCUCAAAAAUAAUUAAUUGAAAUUAAUUUUUUAAUUAAAAAGUUAAAAUAAAUUAAAAAGACGAGAAGACCCUAUAGAGUUUAAUAUUAAGUGUAAAUUUAAGUUAUUUAUAAAAUUUAUUUAUUUAUAAAUUUUGUUUAAUAUUUUGUUGGGGUGAUAAAAAAAUAAAAUAAACUUUUUUUAAUAGUAAACAUAAAUAAGUGAUUUUAUGAUCCAAUUUUAUUGAUUAAAAGAAAAAAUUACCUUAGGGAUAACAGCGUAAUUUUUUCUUUUAGUUCUUAUAAGAGAAAAAGUUUGCGACCUCGAUGUUGGAUUAAGAUAAAAUUUAA